GAGCCGGACCCAGGCCUUCGUGGUGAUACUCGUAGACGGCGUAACGGGUGAGCUAACACGUGUAGCAACCCUGCCCCUGAGCUCUGNGUAUAGCCUCCGGUAAACGGGGUAUUAAUACCGGUAUAUGACUGCCUCCUGCAUGGGGGGUGGUGGAAAGUUUUUCGGCUGGGGCGGGGCUCGCGGCCUAUCAGCUUGUUGGGGGGGUGACGGCCCACCAAGGCGACGACGGGUAGCCGGCCUGAUAGGGCGACCGGCCACACUGGGACUGAGACACGGCCCAGACUCCUGCGGGAGGCAGCAGUGGGGAAUAUUGCGCAAUGGGCGGAAGCCUGACGCAGCGACGCCGCGUGGGGGAUGAAGGCCUUCGGGUUGUAAACCUCUUUCACCAGGGUACGAAGCGGAAGUGACGGUACCUGGGGAAGAAGCGCCGGCUAACUACGUGCCAGCAGCCGCGGUAAU
Molecule: ribosomal RNA, 459 nt
Filed under: uncultured bacterium
Lineage: Bacteria
Description: bacterial SSU rRNA
Rfam family: Bacterial small subunit ribosomal RNA
Source: RNAcentral